Molecule: ribosomal RNA, 465 nt
Filed under: uncultured Klebsiella sp.
Lineage: Bacteria; Pseudomonadati; Pseudomonadota; Gammaproteobacteria; Enterobacterales; Enterobacteriaceae
Description: bacterial SSU rRNA
Rfam family: Bacterial small subunit ribosomal RNA
Source: RNAcentral
CCUACGGGUGGCUGCAGUGGGGAAUAUUGCACAAUGGGCGCAAGCCUGAUGCAGCCAUGCCGCGUGUGUGAAGAAGGCCUUCGGGUUGUAAAGCACUUUCAGCGGGGAGGAAGGCGUUAAGGUUAAUAACCUUGGCGAUUGACGUUACCCGCAGAAGAAGCACCGGCUAACUCCGUGCCAGCAGCCGCGGUAAUACGGAGGGUGCAAGCGUUAAUCGGAAUUACUGGGCGUAAAGCGCACGCAGGCGGCCUGUCAAGUCGGAUGUGAAAUCCCCGGGCUCAACCUGGGAACUGCAUUCGAAACUGGCAGGCUAGAGUCUUGUAGAGGGGGGUAGAAUUCCAGGUGUAGCGGUGAAGUGCGUAGAGAUCUGGAGGAAUACCGGUGGCGAAGGCGGCCCCCUGGACAAAGACUGACGCUCAGGUGCGAAAGCGUGGGGAGCAAACAGGAUUAGAUACCCGAGUAGUC